This 345-nucleotide long non-coding RNA is filed under the name Mytilus galloprovincialis (Mediterranean mussel). Lineage: Eukaryota; Metazoa; Mollusca; Bivalvia; Mytilida; Mytilidae. The record is from RNAcentral.
GUUUUUUUUUCAUCUAUUUUUGUUUAAUUUAGAUACGUUUUGGUGCGUUGUUUUGAUAAUGUGUCGGUUUUAAGUGAUAUCUAUCGUCCAAUAAACAAUUGCCUUGAUAACACAAUGUUUGCCCUUAGAUUUGUGUUGCUGAGUGACUAAUAAAGUCUCUUGUAUGGACAGUGUAUUAUUUACAAACUAUUUUGUACAUACACCUUCCUAAUUUAUUUCUGCAUUUGUUAUGAAUAAAAUAGCAAAUAGGAGUGCAAUCACAUUGGAAAAAUUGUGGCUUGAAUUUAAAUGAAAAAAAGUAACCUGGUCAUGUUAGAAAAUGUAAAAAUGAGAACACCAGAAGCU